This 460-nucleotide ribosomal RNA is filed under the name uncultured bacterium. Its description in RNAcentral is "partial 16S ribosomal RNA". It matches the Rfam family "Bacterial small subunit ribosomal RNA", at positions 338 to 795 of the family's 1533-position model. The record is from RNAcentral.
CCUACGGGAGGCAGCAGUGAGGAAUAUUGGUCAAUGGACGAGAGUCUGAACCAGCCAAGUAGCGUGAAGGAUGACUGCCCUAUGGGUUGUAAACUUCUUUUAUAAAGGAAUAAAACGAGGCACGUGUGCCUUUUUGCAUGUACUUUAUGAAUAAGGAUCGGCUAACUCCGUGCCAGCAGCCGCGGUAAUACGGAGGAUCCGAGCGUUAUCCGGAUUUAUUGGGUUUAAAGGGAGCGUAGAUGGGUUGUUAAGUCAGUUGUGAAAGUUUGCGGCUCAACCGUAAAAUUGCAAUUGAUACUGGCAGUCGUGAGUACAGUAGAGGUGGGCGGAAUUCGUGGUGGAGCGGUGAAAUGCUUAGAUAUCACGAAGAACCCCGAUUGCGAAGGCAGCUUACUAAACUGUGACUGACAUUGAUGCUCGAAAGUGUGGGUAUCAAACAGGAUUAGAUACCCGUGUAGUC